This is a long non-coding RNA of Vespa velutina, 2258 nucleotides long. RefSeq lists it as uncharacterized. The transcript is spliced from 2 exons. The record is from RefSeq and is a predicted model, not a curated record. NCBI's taxonomy places the organism in Eukaryota, Metazoa, Arthropoda, Insecta, Hymenoptera, Vespidae.
UUCAACUACAGCCAUGCCGGUCCUACGAGGGAAGGCUAAUUCUCACCCACUGUUCUCUCGAGGAGAUAAUAGAUCAUGGAGAUUAAAGGAUUCUCGAGAUGCCAGCUUUCUCCAACUCCCACGUUAUACCGACGUAACUUUACCAACCCCUGACAAUAAUAACAGUAACAAUAAUGGGAAGAGAGACGUGGAAGAUAUGAAUAUGUAUCGGAUACAUCUGUUGCCUUGUAGCCCUUUGGGGCGUUAUGAGAGGAGAAAGGGUGUGGCGAGAACGGUGUAAUAUCGGUCGCAGACUCCUUUCGGCAAAACGUGCUAGAACUUAACAACCAAAGACUAAUUUGAAGCCAGUCGACGAGCCGAAAAAAAUAUUAUCUUUUUAUCUUUUCAGCAAUAUCUUUUUCUGUUAUUAAGUUCUAGAAUUCUGUCGUCGCCAACAUUGAUGCUGACCAAAGCAGCGCAAAGAACAAAGAAAGAAACUAUUGAAAAGAGAUUUUAUUGGCUGGCUGCAUCGAUUCUUCUCGGUCAUCACAGCCUUGUCCCUUCAGUAACAAAUUAAGGAUUUUAAGCUGAAAGUAAUUAAUUCCAACGAACGACGAGGUGUCACAAUGUUGGAAGACGAAGAGAUUGAGAGAAAAUCAAGGCUCAUUGUUCUCUUCUGUAUAAUAAUCCGAGAUCGCUCGACGAUUCUUUUCUCUUUUAAAUUAAUGAUUAAAUUUUUUUAAUUAUCGAUGCUAAUCAUACGAGACGAUUAAAUUAUUUAUUUAAUUAUUAGCUAAAAUAAUAAUAACAGUUAACAGUUGGAACUGUAAACAGUUGCAAGAAAAGAAAAUUGAAAAAUGAAAGAAACAAUUAACAGUUGAUAUUUUCAUCUUCGUGAAUUUAAUAUUUAUUUCUAAAUAUUUUCGUUAUUACUUCAUUUAAAAAUUAAUUAAAACUAAAAGUAAGAUAGAAAUAAUUAUACGCUAAAAUAAUUCAUCAAUGAUUCACAGUGUAUCGACAAAUUACUUCGUGAUUCGUUAUAUUCUACGUAUGACAACAAAAAUUAUUUUCUCUUAAUUCCACUUUAUCUUUUCUAAAGAAAAUGGAUUAUUUGGGCGACGUUGGAAAUCUUUUAUCCUUGAAUGCAAAUCCUUUUUAGUUACGUACCUCACAGGCGUAGUUAGUUAAUUAAAAGGUAAAAGCGGCCCGGAGAAGAGCACUCCAAAAAAGAGAGAAAACGAGAGUGAGAAAGAGGACUGGUAACCAGGAUUUGUAGCUCGAUCAGAGUAAAAUCUCCCUUUCACGUUCGACUGGAAUCAUUCGGAAUGGCUUCUGAUUCGGCGCUCGUUUGCACCGCUUUAUUUGCGAUUUCAAAGAGCCCAAAGUAAAGGACGCUCCUGCGUACACAAUUUUAGGCUUGGAUUUACAUAGAGACUGAACGAGCUAGAAUUGAAGGUUUUGUAAAAGACCUCGAUAGUGAUAUAAAAUUGACUCGUAAUUAAGUAUUUUCAAGUUAACAGGUUAAGGAAAGGUAUCUUAAAUCUUUUCAUGCUAAUCCAUCUGAAAAAGGGAUAUCACGGAUAUUAAAAAAUAAUCUCUAGCGACGGAGGCUGAGAAGAAAAUGUGCGACGAUUCGUAAAGAAGUUUUUUGACGUAUUGCCGUUGAAAAGUGUGGAUAGGGAAGUAGCGUAUUUGAAGAGAAGGCGAAGCGAGGAAAACUGAUUUAAUAAUACGCUAGGAUGAGCAACGGACUACCCCAUCGAGGAGAAGCACGAUCGAACGGCUUGACGGUAAAGCUCUCUCUGAGAUUCGCUUCCAUCCACCUCUUCUUCCACUCCCUUAUUCGCGAUUUCAUAUUUGGCGAAUACUACGAAGAUCAAGAAAAAAAGAAACAGAGGGAGAGAAAGAAGAAGAAGGAAAAGAAGCAACAACCAAACCCUUCGGAAUGUAAGCAUUUACAUUUAUAUUUGCAAAAACGCGAGCAUUCGAUGAAGGAAAAGAGAGAAAGGAAGAGAGAGAGAAAGAGAGAAAGAGGGAGAGAGAAAGAGAGAAAGAGAAAUCCCGCCCUUGAAACGGCCAGACUUUCGUUAUGGAAUUGCUAAUGACGACAAGGGCCGCCAGAAUCGUUGCAAUAACAGCUGCUCCCUGCCAAUUCGAUAGAUAGGUGUGGAAAAAUAUUCUUCGAUAACUGCGUUACGACGAUAAGAGCUCUGCGUGUCUCAGGAACGGUAUCGAUUCUUAAGGAAAACAACGAGAUCAUAAAGGCACUUAUAAAAGAA